Long non-coding RNA from Grus americana (Whooping crane), 5584 nucleotides. RefSeq lists it as uncharacterized. The record is from RefSeq and is a predicted model, not a curated record. Lineage: Eukaryota; Metazoa; Chordata; Aves; Gruiformes; Gruidae. The transcript is spliced from 5 exons.
AGUAGCGCCCCGGGGGUGGGUGUUGUGGGACGGCUGCGGGACGGAGCACAGGGUGCAGGUGAGGCCCUGAUGACUGGUGUCACGGUCGGUUUCUGCACGACAGCCCUUCAGACCGAGUACCUCCCGUGGCUCCUGCCAGGGCUGCCUCCAGCUCGGGCUCUGCCACCACCUCAGGGCUCUGAAUGGGCUUGUUGGCGAGGUGGGCACUGCCGGUACCUUCACUGGCACUCCCUCCUAGCCCGAUCAAAUGGGGUGUUUACAAGAGAUCCAUCUCGGCAAGAACAGGGCAGAGAGCUGUAUGCCAGAAGACACGGAGAGGUUUGUCCUCCAGGGCCUUUGUUCCAACUCCUGUGUCACUUCUGGGGCAGUUUGAGACUUGGUGUUGAAUCACGGAGGGACCCAGCUGUGGUUGUUUCCACCUUGGCCUACCUGGGCAGCUGGAGCGGCCGGGCCUCCUUCCCGCCCGCGGCACGCUCUAGCCAGCGGGACAGCCCGGGCUUGGGCAGUCGCAGCCCGCUGGGGGCUUUGGACUCAGGCAGCGGGUGCGGGCGCUGACAGUGAGGGGAGGAACACGGUAGCAGGCAUGUGCAGCCCAAAGAUACUUAGAUGGGAUUGGAGACAAGAGACCUUCCAGCACUAACCAGGAAAAGCUGCUCAGAGUGUUACUCAGCUGUAAGCAAAGCCUCAGGAUUCAUGUGAUGCUGACCUGGAGGGCGGUACAGUGAUGGGCACAGAGGAGCGGUGGCUCAAUGCAUUUGUACAGAACUGGGCUGCAGUUGCCCAGCUGAGUCAAGAGAGGAUCCCGUCAGCGGCUGGUGAGCACUUCCAGCCUCCCGGCUGCACAGCUGGACAUCGCAGUCUUAGAAUGCAUUGUCCCCUUUUGCCAGUGAUGGAUGGGUGCAGCCAAAUAGAGAAGAUCCAACUCCAUAUCAAGUUCUCAAUAUGGAGAACAUGAAGAAGUUUAGAGCAUUGAGAUGUUUGGAGACCAAAACCUCUGAUUAUGAGGCCAGAGGUGAAGGUGGCAUUGGUCCUGCAGAACCUGCUCACAGUAGGAACAAAGUAGAGGAUGUGGGACAAAUCUUCUGGAUCAAUUAGUUGAGAGAUGCUGUGGGUGGACCACCCCAUAUGCAAAGUCAGCAUAAUGGGAAGUAUCCAAUGGUGAUGACACUGGGCAGGUCCAGCAGCAGUCUUGCAGGUACAACCACCACUUGCGUAUGAAGGAUCAGCGAGAUACCACUGUUACUCCUCUAGGAGCCUGCAGCCAUAUCAAGAUCUUGGUGAUUGGGAAAAAUUCCUGAUGACUGAAAAAAGACAAAUGUCAUACCUACCAUCAAGAAUGGCAAGAAGGAGGAUCUAGGCAACUAUGAACUGGUCAGCCUCAACUCAGUCCCUGGGAAGACUGGACAGCACAUCCUCCUGGCAGCUAUGUCCAAGCACAUGAAGGACAAGAAAAUAACCCGGAGUAGCCAGCAGGGAUUUAGCAAGGGCCAUUUGCACCUCACCAACCUGAUUACUUUCUACAAUGAGACAACUGCCUGUGUGGACAACAGGAGGGCACUGGAUGUUGUAUUGAUUGAUUGUAGCAUUGACUUUAUCAAGGCCUUUGACAUGGUCUCCCACAGUCUACUUGUAGGCAAGUUGGUGAGAUUUGGACUGGAUAAGUGGAGUAUGAAGUGAAUGAAAAACUGGCUGGAUGGGGGUCAUAUCAACAAUAUGAAUUCCAACUGGCAACUAGUUACUAAGGGCAUCCUUCAGGGUCAAUAGUAUUUAAUGUGGCCUGGACAAUGAGCUGUCUUGCACUCUCAGCAAAUUUGUAGACAUUACAAAAUUGGAGAGUACUAUUGCUAUGCUGUAGGGCAGGGCUGCUACUCAGAGGGACCUUGGCAGGCUAGGGAAAAAGGCCUUCCUCUCAGUAAUAGAUGCUGGCAACACAACUGCUGUGAAAAUGUGGCUGUUGCCUCCAGAAGCUGGAGGUGGUAUGUACAUGAACAAGAGGGCUUAGAGGAAAUCUGGCUGAGAGGGCUCUUAACUUCACUACCUACUAACCUAUAUUUCUUCCUUCUGUUUUACCAGUGAUGAAAUCUAAAUGCAAAAUCUAUUAUUGACAACAAGUGUAUGGAAUAUGUGUCUGGUCAUGGGCAUUUUCAACAGAAGCAUCUUGGCUGUAUUGAAACAGAAUUCAGAAAAGUUAAAUGAACUUUGCUGAAGCUGUUGGGAAUUCCUCACCUCUGAGUGACAAGUGCUACUGAGCACCUGUAGCUGGAUUGUCAUAAUGGAAGUUGCAUGGGAACCAUUACUACAGGCAUCCCUCCUGACAUUCCUUCAAGGGCUCUCAAGGUUUACUGAAGAGGGAGUAGUCUUUGACAUGCAGCACUUGUUCCUCCCUACCUCACUCACAAGGAACCAUCUUUGGAUUGGUGAGUCUGGAGAAGAGAAUGCUGUGACGGAACUUGACAGCAGCUCCCCCCAGGACCUAUGAGAAAGUGAUUGGUGGGAGACUGAGAGACAAUCGACAUAAGUUGAAAAAAGAGAGGUUCAAACUGGAUAUGAGGAAAAUCUUUUCCACCAUGAGGACAGUCAAGCACUGGAACAGGUUACCCAGAGAAGUUGUGCAUCCUUGGAAGGCUGAAGAAAACCUUGAGUAACCUGGUCUGAUUUCACAGUUGGCCCUGCUUUGAGCAGAAUUUUGGACUAGCAACCUCCACAGGUCACUUCCAACCUGAAUACACUGAUUCUAUGUAUUGUAAGUCCCCAGAUCUGAGCAAGGACUGACACACUUGCUAUCAUUGCUUUUAUCAGUAUUUCUAAUGAGAUGUUGGCAUCAGCUGCUCCAAGGCUCUAAUUUCAAGAUUAGAACCAGGCAUGAGGCCACCUGAAGGACACUGUGGAGACGCUCCCUAAGUGAAAUGCAGGCCAAAAUUCAGCAUCAUUUGGACAACCAAGUGACAGCCUUGUUGCCAAGUUGUUGCAGGAACAUUGUGACGCAAGGGGUCACUGCUAGCUUUGAUGUCCUGAAACAUGGGGUAAGAAGAGAAUCAGUAGUUCAUAAGGGAACCUGGCUGAAAGCAAGCCCUGCGUUAGGCAGCAUGAAGCCAUACAGUGGGAAGGCCAGUUAUAGCUCUCAGCAGAGGUUGGUACAAAGCAGGAGGCACCAGCACUAUGCUGGCCAGGCUGUUGGAGGGGAGGUGAAGAAACCAUCUUUGAUUCUCUUAUUUAAGUCCCUGAGGAACCCAAACCUUCACUGUGGCUUCUGACUGUGACCUUGACUAUUGUUUACUUGGUGUGUCCUUUAUCCACUUGCCCUAGUUGGGUCUUUUUCAAGAUGUAAACCAGGUAUGUUUGUGCGGCUAAAGCUGUGUGACACUCUCCCUGUACCCUGGGCCCCUCAGGUCGCAGCGCUGUGCCAGAUGACCGCAGUAGACAAAGGGAUCCAGAAAGCACAGGGUGCAGGCAGGAUGGACAGUAUCAAAAAGGCACCUGGGGAGAAGGAGGGGAAACUUCUGAGAUACCCAAACCUUUACCUGUAGUGCAAAAAAAAGUCUGCAGAGAUCCCAUGACUUCUGGAAGUACACACUCUUCAGGCUGUGACUAUCUCCCAGGUUAAAUUGUUAGGGACAGGAAAGGAUUCCUGAAGGAACAAGGGGAUGUCAUUAUCAUGGGCACUCUCAUACUAGUGCUUAUACUAUAUGGCGGCAGGAAACUUUCCAGGGUGCUCUUUGUUCUCGAGGUUAGCCACUGCUGGCAGUGCUGAUGAGUCAUCUUAGAAGCAGUCUUGUCUUGUGUCAAUGUGAAACAGAAGGGCUCCUCCAAAUCCUUUUACAGCUGGUAGAGGAUGUAAAGAGCUCCAGUGAUAGGGACCCAGGGGCAUAAAGCCUAUCUUUAAACAUCAGCUCUUUAAACACAUGAGCGCAAUGGCUGACUGAAACCUUGAUGUGGGACACUAGUGUCCUGGAAGACCUGUGUCAGCCAGACCUGUGAUGAAAAAGAUUAUUCUAAACUAAUCUUCUCCUUUAGAAAAAUAUUCUGGAUAUGCAAUGUCCUGUGUUAAGCAAGGAGACCUUCCCCCGCUCUCCACAAAUGGGUCUUUGAGUGACAAAACUCUGCAGGAUCCUGGAGCUGUAGCUCUUCAAAUUCAUGUAGUCACAUAGGUCCCCUGCCGCAGGCCCAAUGUGAGACUGUAUAUCCCAUUAUUCUAGCAGAGGUGGUUAUACCAACCUUUUGUGAUGCCUACCUACAUAACUAAGCUACCACCAGACCAACAGUGGACUGGUGGUGCCAUACCAUCUGUCCCACAAUGGUAGAAUGUAUGAGUGGCCUGGACACAGGGAUGGCAGCCCAGAAAGGAGCCUGGAGCUCCAAGUUGUACACUACCUCUUCACACAGGUUAUGUCUAUAACAGCAAAUUAAAUAGCGCCAGGGCCUGGCCGCAGGUGUGAGAACUCAGUUGUCUACACUAGUUAAUGGUUCAUGCCUUCCCCAAUAUGGCUGUGGCCUGUGUCAGCUCACAUGUCCACAGGCAAUGCACAAGCACAGUUCAGGAGCGAGCACACACGAGAGAACCACCACUGCCAUUGGGCACUCUGGACACACUCUGGAAGCAGACUGCAUGGACAUGGCCAGAUAGUGCCACCAUCAAAAUCUCUUGAGCUGGACUGAGCUAGAUCAGCUCACUCUCGGGAGGGGAGAGGAGCUGUGUCCCAAACAGAGCAGCCUUAAUUGCCCUUGGUGUGUACUGUGAGAGAGAGGUCACAAUUCUGUGACCUACACAACUGAUCUGCUUGAUUCUGCAGCAUGUGGGUAGUCCUGGGGCAUUACUUUAUGGUCCGGUCCUCACCAGUGGCACCAGCAACAGGAAGAAGCUGCAAGACUGUGCAGCAAAUGCAAAGGAGAGGCCGAAGAGCCUGGGCUGUGGUGGAGUGUGUUGGGAUGGCCACAGUAGUGGAUGGUGGAGAUGAAUUUGGGCAGGCUGAGAGAUAGAAGGGUGGUCAGAAGGAUGAUGGGAUAACUCUUUCAAAGCAUUGCAUGCUGCUCAUAUGCAGUAUGGACAUGAUGCUUCUGCUGUAAAAUGCCCAGUGACUCUAAAAAGUUGAAUGACGUUUGGGCUGCACUACUUGGUGUGCUGUCGUGUCCAAGACUUCAGCCGAGACCUCCGUGUGCCAGCUUCUCACCUGCCAACUGGGGGAAAUAAUCCCGGAGAUAAAGUGCAUUGUGAUCUCUGACAAGUGUUUGACCAGUUCGUAAAGACUUCUAGAGACAGUGAUGUCACAUCUACCCCAACGACCUUAAUUACUAAGAAAGUUUUCCUUGAUAUGUCACUUCGUCCUCUCCUCUGUAACUCCCCAUUUCUUGUCACCAUGGAGUGAACCUUCUGGCUCUCAUUUGAGGUCCCAGUCAUUCCACACUAGCACUAAACAUAUUUUCCUGUUUCAGUUUGUGCAUGCAAAAAAUUAAAUAACAGAAGUAUAAGAUUGAGGUACUUUUCAAUAAUUUUCAUGCUAUUUAUUUCAUAGUAUUCCUGCACUGGCUAUUCUAUUCAUGAUAAAAUGUGUAAAAAUUGUUUCAAAUAAAUAAAGUAUUCGUGAAA